UAACAUUAUAGAAAAAUUGACGAAAUCGUCAAAGAGAACAGUGACUAAGUUCAAAAUGGUUGGACAGAACUAGGACCAAAAGUUACAAGUGUAGUAAGAAGUUCUAACCCUAAAGAGACUUGGGCUCAUCGGAUCAGGAAUGGAAGACUGGCUGAUUGUGGAUAAGCUUCGGAUGAGGGAAGAUCCUUGCGUCGCCUUCACUCCAUGCUCGCUUCCCCCUUCUCCCUCGUUGGUUGCAUCCGCCACGAGGAUCGUUGGCGGGCUAGCGACUCAUUGUGCACAGACUGUUUGUUCUCUGCGUGUGCAGAAGCUGGAGAAUUUGGUGCGGUGACAUAGGUCAACUGUGCGUGAAUUUGGAGUUUCUGGGGAGAGGUGGUGUGACAUUGAGCUUACCGGAUGUGAAAUUAGAGGGGAGGAUUUGCUGUUGGGUGAAAGAUGGCUGCUUUGAAGGCCUUGUGUAGCUGCGUUGAUGGGGCCUGCAGGUCGACAGAGUUGGGUUCAGCUUGUGCUUCAUUCCUGGGUUCGCAAUGUGGGUGGUCU
RNAcentral lists this long non-coding RNA (540 nucleotides) under Physcomitrium patens. RNAcentral's name for it is "long non-coding RNA (PPAT_LNC008126)". Lineage: Eukaryota; Viridiplantae; Streptophyta; Bryopsida; Funariales; Funariaceae. The record is from RNAcentral.